RNAcentral lists this ribosomal RNA (481 nucleotides) under uncultured bacterium. RNAcentral's name for it is "partial 16S ribosomal RNA". It matches the Rfam family "Bacterial small subunit ribosomal RNA", at positions 28 to 507 of the family's 1533-position model. The record is from RNAcentral.
GAUGAACGCUGGCGGCGUGCUUAACACAUGCAAGUCGAACGAAGCACUUUAUUUGAUUUCCUUCGGGACUGAUUAUUUUGUGACUGAGUGGCGGACGGGUGAGUAACGCGUGGGUAACCUGCCUUGUACAGGGGGAUAACAGUUGGAAACGGCUGCUAAUACCGCAUAAGCGCACGGCAUCGCAUGAUGCAGUGUGAAAAACUCCGGUGGUAUAAGAUGGACCCGCGUUGGAUUAGCUAGUUGGUGAGGUAACGGCCCACCAAGGCGACGAUCCAUAGCCGACAUGAGAGGGGGACCGGCCACAUUGGGACUGAGACACAGCCCAAACUGCUACGGGAGGCAGCAGUGGGGAAUAUUGCACAAUGGGCGAAAGCCUGAUGCAGCGACGCCGGGUGAGCGAAGAAGUAGUUCGGUAUGUAAAGCUCUAUCAGCAGGGAAGAUAAUGACGGUACCUGACUAAGAAGCACCGGCUAAAUACGUG